RNAcentral lists this ribosomal RNA (657 nucleotides) under uncultured Actinomycetes bacterium. RNAcentral's name for it is "bacterial SSU rRNA". It matches the Rfam family "Bacterial small subunit ribosomal RNA", at positions 232 to 885 of the family's 1533-position model. The record is from RNAcentral. Lineage: Bacteria; Bacillati; Actinomycetota; Actinomycetes.
CGCGGCCUAUCAGCUUGUUGGUGGGGUAAUGGCUCACCAAGGCGACGACGGGUAGCCGGCCUGAGAGGGUGACCGGCCACACUGGGACUGAGACACGGCCCAGACUCCUACGGGAGGCAGCAGUGGGGAAUAUUGCACAAUGGGCGCAAGCCUGAUGCAGCGACGCCGCGUGAGGGAUGAAGGCCUUCGGGUUGUAAACCUCUUUCAGUAGGGAAGAAGCUGAUUCCUUUUGGGGUUGGUGACGGUACCUGCAGAAGAAGCGCCGGCUAACUACGUGCCAGCAGCCGCGGUAAUACGUAGGGCGCAAGCGUUAUCCGGAAUUAUUGGGCGUAAAGAGCUCGUAGGCGGUUUGUCGCGUCUGCCGUGAAAGUCCGGGGCUUAACUCCGGAUCUGCGGUGGGUACGGGCAGACUAGAGUGCAGUAGGGGAGACUGGAAUUCCUGGUGUAGCGGUGAAAUGCGCAGAUAUCAGGAGGAACACCGAUGGCGAAGGCAGGUCUCUGGGCUGUAACUGACGCUGAGGAGCGAAAGCAUGGGGAGCGAACAGGAUUAGAUACCCUGGUAGUCCAUGCCGUAAACGUUGGGCACUAGGUGUGGGGGACAUUCCACGUUUUCCGCGCCGUAGCUAACGCAUUAAGUGCCCCGCCUGGGGAGUACGG